Molecule: long non-coding RNA, 1071 nt
Organism: Acanthaster planci (crown-of-thorns starfish)
Lineage: Eukaryota; Metazoa; Echinodermata; Asteroidea; Valvatida; Acanthasteridae
Source: RefSeq, a predicted model, not a curated record
UCAGUCACACUGACCCCAGAGGAACUUAUCAGAUGCUUUAUUUGUUAACUUUAAGAGCUCAAAAACUUGACAAGGUCACUCAAAUGGCCUUUAUGGAUGCCAAACCAAAAUCGGGCAGCAAGACAUUCUAUCACUGUACACAGCCAACCGUUGUACAUUGGGAGUCAGUUCCGCCACAGCAGCUCGCUGCUGGACACCGUCUGCAGCUCCUGUGUUUCACUUGAAAAAUUAGAGUGUUGCAGGAAGUGAUUAGGACAUAAAGUAACCCACUGUACCGUUAUCCACUGUACCGGUAUAUCAAAGCAACUAUUUUUGUCCGUGGACGUACACCACAGGACAGGAGACAGUCCCAGAGGAUGGCUUGUCAAUAGGGUGACAGUAACUUGCUGGAAGUUGAGGAAAAUGACACAAUUUGAAAUUCCUGGAGAAUAUUGAAGCCACAGGAAAUCGCACCUGAUCAUAAGUGGUGACAAAUCCACAGCAUUCGCCUGAAGGUGCGCCGAGGUGCCCUCUACGUGGGCCCAUUUUAGGGGGGGCGGACAGACUGCUAAUGACACUCCCUUCCCCGUCACAUCACUGCCUCUGCCUGUCUUUGUAAUUUGGGACUUUUCUCCUUUUUCGCAGAAAGGGGGGGUGUCAAAACUGAUCCAAACUGUCCUGGAACAAUUAGCACCGUCCCUGCACACUUCCCACCCAUCACUAAAGAGAAUCCUGACAUGCAACAACUAGAUGCAGGCACAAGACAUGCACAAACUCUGUCAUGUUAUCCACAAUCAACAAAGGGCACAUGAGCUCUGAGCCUCCAUGAACUGACAGUCCCAACUGUGAGGCAUAUCGUCAUCUUCUGAUAACCCGUUGACUCACAAAUAAGAAAUCUUUCUUCUGCGACUGUCUUUAAAGGCAAUGUUGGGUGUGCAAAGGAAGAGGGGAUUUAUUCACCAGUCGUGAUUAAAAUGACUACUCCUAACAUAGUGAAGUUUGGAAUUUAAUCUCAGUGUUGCACAGCUUCACCCGAAAUCUGCAGUGGAAAGUUUUCGUCAGCAGAGGGAAAGAGGUCUCAGACAACAACAA